CUACGGAGGUUGCAAGCGUUACUCGGAAUCACUGGGCGUAAAGCGCGCGCAGGCGGCUAUUUAAGUUGGAUGUGAAAGCCUACGGCUCAACCGUAGAACUGCAUCCAAAACUAUUUAGCUAGAGGGUGGGAGAGGAAGAUGGAAUUAGUUGUGUAGGGGUAAAAUCCGUAGAGAUAACUAGGAAUACCAAAAGCGAAGGCAAUCUUCUGGAACACUACUGACGCUGAGGCGCGAAAGCGUGGGGAGCAAACAGGAGUAGAAACCCUAGUAGUCC
This 274-nucleotide ribosomal RNA is filed under the name uncultured bacterium. Its description in RNAcentral is "partial 16S ribosomal RNA". It matches the Rfam family "Bacterial small subunit ribosomal RNA", at positions 523 to 796 of the family's 1533-position model. The record is from RNAcentral.